UGCUGUUGCCCAUAAUGAUUUUAUAAACAUUUUGCCAGCAGAUCAAUACCUGUAUUGAUCAGGCAUUGUGAGAGUGAUCCGUCUAAAACCCAGAACAGCCUAGAGCUCAGAGGUGGGAGGAGCAAAAGAGAGAGGCUGCAUAGAGGAUGGCGAAGGAGAGCGAGUCUGCAACCACAGUGAAAAGGAAAAGAGGUGCAAGGUUGGAAGAGACUGAGGGAGAGGCGGACACAGAGACGGAAGCAGGUGAGGAUGCAGAUUUCGGGAAAUGCUGCCAGGCCGUUGGGACUGAGGAAAACAAAUGAAAGAAACUCUUAAAGGAGAGAUGGAGGAGACUGAGAGCACACUGCUGCUCUGAAUCUAAUUGCUGCAAAAUGAUCAAAACUUACAUUUCCUGAAACGUCCUUAACAUUCAGGAGAGGAAUAAUUCCACAUCACCAUUAUGGAAGAAGAACUGCAAAAGCAUAUUAAAUGUAAAGGCAAUACCAAAAGACAAACAUGGCAGCAUGAAGACCAUCUUCAACGUACAGGAUUGCUGCCGCUUUGUAAACACGUGGAUGGCUGGCUUUUUGGAAUACUUUUUUACUGUCUGGGAAUUCACUAAAUUGGAUGAUUGCUUUACAUUUAAAACACAAGUAGGAGAUUUACUGAAGCGAUGACUCACUGGAUGACUCAACACAAGUUCAAGGCCACAAUCUGCCCUGCGCUGGAGGACAAGUCAAGCGCUUUUGCUGUCAUUCCCUCGUGCUGUGGGGAAAUCAAGCUUCAUUGAUUGGUUUUUAAAUAAGAUGUGUUGUGCAUAAAUGAGGAUCUGAAGGAAGAUGAAUUCCUCAAACGAACUGUGGGGGAAGACCUUGAUGCUCAUGAACUCGUGUGCUCUGGAGACUAGUGUGGAAAGCACUCAAUGAAAAAGGCCUGAUGGCUCAUGCCUCUUUGACCAAGCUAAAAAAAAAAGAAGAAUUUAGGCUUUUCAAGGCUUAUUAAGGGCAAGAGACGCUUGUAAACAAUUUUCCUAAUGAAUUAACAAAAAAACACUGAGCAAAAAUUUCAUCAGCUGACCUUUUGUGUAGCUUCUCACCUUCCAAACAAAGCAUGUUACUGGGAUUUUAUGUAAUAGACCAAUACAAAUGACGCAUUAUUGUGAGCCAAAAGGGAAAGGAUAGAAAGACUUAAAAACACUUCACAAAUAAAACCUGAGAACUAUGGUGUGUAUUUGAAUUCAGCUUAUGCUUUUCAAUAAUUGUAAAACAGCCCUCUACAGCCAGAGGAUUGGUUAUGAUUAAGCUAAAUGUGCCCUAGUCAAAAUCCUAUAAUCCAAGUGAGAUGCUAAGUAUAAAAGUUGCUAUACAUACAGCUUAGAUUAGACUUAAUUUGCUAAACGAACACACCAGAAAAACCUUGCAACUGUAUUUGCAGUAAGUUUAGGUUAUUGUUCUGCUAUAAAGUGAAUAUACACAAAGGUUUCAGGUCUUUUGCAGCCACUAAAGAGAUUUCCUUCCAGAACUACUUAGCUCUAUCGAUCAACCCUUUAACUCUCAUUAGCUUGUGAAGUAAAGCAUACCCACAGCAUUAUGCUGCUAUGAACAUGUUUUACAAUACUACCCUAACCCCCCCGAAGCAAUUUGCAUUGCCUUCUUCAAGGCUUGUGGCAAUCAGUAACAAUCCUCCCAUUAACAAUUGCUUACUUUCUGCCACUCUUUCAUAAAGACCAGACUUGCAGAGUGCACAAAGAACAAUAGUCCUGGCUAUUAUUCUGAGUAGUAGAUGUCUGCAACUACUCCAAAGUUACCAUGAGUCUCUUGGAUGCUUCUCUGAAUAAUGCUCUCUGUCAUUGGUGGAUGGGUUCCAACGAUACGUGUGGUAUAACAUUGCCAAUUGAAAAGAGUAUACGUGGUGAUUUCUGAAGGAAUAUGGAGCCGAUUUGUAUUAAUUGCAUCAGAGUAAAAAGAACCGAACAGAAUGUUUUCUAUACUUUUAGUUACUUUUUUUUUUUUUUUUUUCACGAAAACACCUUCCUUCUACUUCAGCACUAUUUUGUUUUGGGUUAUCACACAGUAAACUAAGGUCUGUGGUUGUAAUGAGGCAAAAUGUGAAAAUGCAAGAGCAUUAAUAAGUUUGGAAGGCAUUUCACUUUCUCAGUUAAACACUUAACACAUGCAAUGACACAGCUUUGUUAAAAUAUUUUUUCUCAAUGCCUGUUAAAUAAGAACAACCAAUGUUUAUAAUGGAAUGGGAGGAAUUGGUGAAACAACAUAUUAAGCUGAAAUAGAUUAUUCCUUCUUGACAACAGUAUGAUUAGUAAGAACUCCAUUGUUUUGCAACAUAUGCAAUGUUCUGAGUCUCAGACGUUUUCCAGACAAUCAAAACAACUUUCAUUAAAAACUAAAUGUAAAUGAAUAAUAAUGCAAAAGCAUUGUUUCCCGGUGAGAGGUAGGAUGCAAUAGUUGAUUUAAAUUCAGAUCUUGAGCUGAAGUUUAAGUCAAGUACAUAGAAAAUGAGGCACAAGAAUCAGUAAGCAGAAGACGUGAAGCUGAAUGUGUAGUUAGGAUAAGCAAGUAACACCUUAGCUUCGUUUGAUCAAUGUGCAAAUUAUGAAUCAUGAAAGGAUAUAACUAAAAAUUAUUCAUUAUGGUGACAUGAUAAAUUGCACAAAGCUUUUAGAUACUAUAGCAACAUUAUUAGAACAAGUGAAAGAAAAGGUUGAAGAAAAAGGACAUUGAUGUCACUUUCUGUGCAAAGAAUUGUGUUUUAUUGGGUGAAGUGUUAUUUAUUCACUGCAGUAUUGUAUACAUUAAAAUUAGAGAGAGUUAUAUCACUGCAUAAUAUAAUAACAGUAAUAUUGGUGCAAUGCAAAAUCUCAACUGUCUAUCUAUCAAAGUAAAAGUUAAACUAAAUGGGUACAUUUUUUUCCACAAUGUAGUAUAACAAUAAAGUGCCAUUCUUGUUUUUUCAGAGCUUUGUUAAAGUGAACAAACAUAAACUCAUCUUUUCAUUUGGAAUUAUAUUGCCAAGACUAAUGAAUGUCUUAGCAGGUGUAUGAGCAAAUGAACCACCUGCAAUUAAUGUUUUCACAAAGACGAUUGCUCAAAAUCCAUAGAAACAUUACUCUAAAAGCUGGGUUCAAGUAUUCUUGAUUUUUUUUUUUAAAAGUCAAUAAAUAGUUCGACUAAUUAAAAUUGCAGCGUAUAAAACAAGUCUGAAAUACUUAAAUAACCCCCUGUUGAAGCUUCUUAAGCACAGAAAACGCUAUAAUAAAUAGCUUCCUUUGCAUCCUGUUUUAACAUGAUUGACAUUGUCUCUCACUGUGGCCAGUGCAUGAAUUAUUACAAUAAAAUUAUUCGACAACAGUUUUGGCCCCUAGAACAAAACAUUGAGUUACUGAUCAUGAUUUGCCCUUUAUACACAUUGGUAAUCCUAUUGUCUACAAAAGCUUAAUUACACAAAGAUAAACUCAUAAGCAUUAUCACCUCACUCAAAGACUUAAUUCAUGUGCUAUCAAGGCAAAAUUUGUGCACCGAGUCGUUUUCAUCUAUCCAUUCAUUCUUUUGAUUAAUUCCUUCUGUCAAAAACAAACCUUUGGAUGAGUGCCAAACAUCAAAUUAGGGUAUUCAUUAGACACAUCAAACAUAAAUUACUAUUCAAUUAACAAGCCAGUCGAGCUGAACUAAUCAACUAAUUAGGCCAUGUGUGUACACAGGAAAGCUAACAAAAGCACGAGUCCCCUGGGAAAGCAGUGAAACCCAGAAGAAGAAUGACAGCAAGGAUGAAAAGCUACUGGUUUGAGAGGGAAAAGGAGAAAGCCACUAGACACUUGGCGCACGGUUAAGCUGUUUAGCUCCUCUAAUCAUAAACUUUAUUGUGUUGAUGCAUUACUUUGAUCAGUUUCAAACUGCUAAGUCAAAUUGACUCGCAAAGCACAUAAAACGCACACACACACGCAGAAAAACUGUGCUUAACCCAACAUUAAGAUUUCAAAGAAAAUUGUCUGAUAAUGGGAACAGAUUACCUUUUCUUCUUAUUUUUAUACAAGUUCAGAGCAAAAAAAAAAUAAAAAUACUGCAUAAUUCCACAUAGUAAAAACAACAAGGUAAUGUCUUAUUGUUAUGACAGCGGUUCAAAUAUUAUCUGAUAGAGAAUGUUCAAAGAACUGGGAGAUUAUUCUAUUCUCUCUUUGUCAGAGCUUCUGUGUCAGAGAUGGUCUGUCUGUCUGUCCCAAACAUACCUUUGGUCCGAAGCAGCUCGAGCCGGCCAGGCUGUUCAAAUAUCGUCUUCACACACUGACCAGGCUGCAACCUAAGAGGGAAGCAAACAUACAAUAUGCAUGCGUUUAUACAGUGGAAAACAGCCCGACUAAUACUGUUAAUCAUUAUUGUACCAUUUGUUGGAGAAUAUA
Long non-coding RNA from Poecilia latipinna (sailfin molly), 4390 nucleotides. RefSeq lists it as uncharacterized. The transcript is spliced from 2 exons. Lineage: Eukaryota; Metazoa; Chordata; Actinopteri; Cyprinodontiformes; Poeciliidae. The record is from RefSeq and is a predicted model, not a curated record.